Molecule: long non-coding RNA, 135 nt
Organism: Corapipo altera (White-ruffed manakin)
Lineage: Eukaryota; Metazoa; Chordata; Aves; Passeriformes; Pipridae
Exons: 4
Source: RefSeq, a predicted model, not a curated record
AGAGCUGGGGGGUGCUGGGGGAUGAGAGGCUGGACAUGCCCCAGCCAUGGGCACUCCCAGCCCAGAAACCCCCGUGUCCUGGGCUCAUCCCACAGCGUGGGCAGCAGGGGAGGGGAGGAUUCUGCCCCUCUGCCC